RNAcentral lists this ribosomal RNA (402 nucleotides) under uncultured bacterium. Its description in RNAcentral is "bacterial SSU rRNA". It matches the Rfam family "Bacterial small subunit ribosomal RNA", at positions 355 to 774 of the family's 1533-position model. The record is from RNAcentral.
UGGGGAAUCUUGCACAAUGGGGGCAACCCUGAUGCAGCGACGCCGCGUGAGCGAUGAAGCCCUUCGGGGCGUAAAGCUCUUUCGACCGGAACGAUAAUGACGGUACUGGGAGAAGAAGCUGCGGCUAACUACGUGCCAGCAGCCGCGGUAAUACGUAGGCAGCAAGCGUUGUUCGGGGUUACUGGGCGUAAAGAGUGCGUAGGCGGUUUUCUAAGUUCGGUGUGAAAUCUCCCGGCUUAACUGGGAGGGUGCGCCGAAGACUGGGAAGCUGGAGUGUGGGAAAGGCAGGCGGAAUUCCUGGUGUAGCGGUGAAAUGCGUAGAUAUCAGGAGGAACACCGGCGGUGUAGACGGCUUGCUAGACCAUAACUGACGCUGAGGCACGAAAGCGUGGGUAGCAAACA